Molecule: ribosomal RNA, 468 nt
Filed under: uncultured bacterium
Lineage: Bacteria
Description: partial 16S ribosomal RNA
Rfam family: Bacterial small subunit ribosomal RNA
Source: RNAcentral
GACGAACGCUGGCGGCGUGCUUAACACAUGCAAGUCGAACGGAAAGGCCCUGCUCUUGUGGGGUGCUCGAGUGGCGAACGGGUGAGUAACACGUGAGUAACCUGCCCUUGACUUUGGGAUAACUUCAGGAAACUGGGGCUAAUAUCGGAUAGGAGCUACUGCUGCACGGUGGGGGUUGGAAAGUUUCGGCGGUUGGGGAUGGACUAGCGGCUUAUCAGCUUGUUGGUGGGGUAGUGGCUUACCAAGGCUUUGACGGGUAGCCGGCCUGAGAGGGUGACCGGCCACAUUGGGACUGCGGUACGGCCCAGACUCCUACGGGAGGCAGCAGUGGGGAAUAUUGCGCAAUGGGCGGAAGCCUGAUGCAGCAACGCCGCGUGCGGAAUAACGGCCUACGGGUUGUAAACCGCUUUCGCCUGUGACGAAGCGUGAGUGACGGUAAUGGGUAAAGAAGCACCGGCUAACUACGUG